This 485-nucleotide RNase P RNA is filed under the name Acidobacteriota bacterium. Its description in RNAcentral is "Acidobacteria bacterium RNase P RNA component class A". It matches the Rfam family "Bacterial RNase P class A". Rfam says of the family: Ribonuclease P (RNase P) is a ubiquitous endoribonuclease, found in archaea, bacteria and eukarya as well as chloroplasts and mitochondria. The record is from RNAcentral. Lineage: Bacteria; Pseudomonadati; Acidobacteriota.
CGAGCAAGCCGGGCGAUCGCUGCCCCGCCCAAUCGCCGCCCAUUAUCCCAAUUCCGGGCCGGCAAGCAGGGGUGGGGGAGAGGAAAGUCCGAACUCCACAGGGCGAUGUGCUCGCUAACGGCGAGGGUCGGAGGGGGAUUCCCGGCAGGCCGGGACGUACACCUCCGGCACGGAAAGUGCAACAGAAAACAUACCGCCCGGUCCUUUCCCGACUGCUGUCGGGCUGGGGACAGGGUAAGGGUGAAAAGGUGCGGUAAGAGCGCACCGCCCCGAUAGCGAUGUCGGGGGCACGGUAAACCCCACACGGAGCAAGACCAAAUAGGAGAGGAGGAGUGGCCCGCUCCGCAACGCCGUCCCGGGUUUCCGGGGUGGCAGGUGACUCUCGGGUAGGUCGCUUGAUCCCGACAGCAAUGUCGGGACUAGAGGAAUGAUCGCCGUCCCGGUCCUCCGGGAGACAAAAUUCGGCUUACAGGCUUGCUCGCACA